RNAcentral lists this transfer RNA (72 nucleotides) under Camelus bactrianus (Bactrian camel). It matches the Rfam family "tRNA". From Rfam's summary of the family: Transfer RNA (tRNA) molecules are approximately 80 nucleotides in length. Their secondary structure includes four short double-helical elements and three loops (D, anti-codon, and T loops). Lineage: Eukaryota; Metazoa; Chordata; Mammalia; Artiodactyla; Camelidae. The record is from Rfam by way of RNAcentral. RNAcentral also lists the same sequence under 1 other name.
GAGGGUAUAUCUCAGUAGUAGAGUGCAUGCCUCGCAUGCACAAGGUCCGGGGUUCAAUCCCCAGUACCUUCA